Molecule: non-coding RNA, 1049 nt
Organism: Equus caballus (horse)
Lineage: Eukaryota; Metazoa; Chordata; Mammalia; Perissodactyla; Equidae
Source: RefSeq, a predicted model, not a curated record
AGAGUCACUGCUGCUUAGAGUUAGUCAGCAACUCAAAGUGUAGGAUGGAAGCUUUGUGUAGAAGGAUAGACUUGGUCCCAGAAAUCGGAAAACACCAUUCUCAUUUGUUUUACUUUUUCUUUUUUUUUUGCUAAGCAAGGGUCACCCUGAGCUAACGUCUGUUGCCAGUCUUCCCCUUUUUUGUAUGUGAGCUGCUGUCACAGCAUGGCCACUGUCAGAAGAGUGGUAUAGGUUUGCUCCUUGGAAUUGAACUCGGGCUGCCAAAGCGGAGCACAGCGAACUUAACCACCAGGCCACCAGGGCUAGCCCUGCCAUUUUCUUUUAAAGACAAUGAAAAUAAAUUUGUAAUAAACAAAUUUUUAAGCAAUUUAUUCAUUCAUCUGUUCAACAAAUGUUGACUAGGCGUAUGCAAGACACGCGCCCUGCCCUCUCUAUCCACAGGUGACUAGGCACCUUCAGAAUGAUGUUGUAGGUGCUAGAAGCAGGUGGCCCGUACGGGAGGAGGAAGCACGUGAUGACAGAGAGCCCAGCCUCCCUGGGCCUAGGGAAGGCUUAGCCUCCAGUGCCCGUGGGAGUCAGCCAGGCAGAGAAGCGGCCCCGGGCCAGGGGGCCUCCUGGCAGAGGCCUGUGUGGGCGCCUCUGUCAGUGGUUUCAUGUCGCCUGGUUCGAGCUUAGUGAGCUGCUGGGGAGGGCACCCGUGGGAAAAGGGCAGGACAGGCACAGGCUGCUGCUGGUGAAAACUCGCCUUGGGUGGGUCAGAUGCUGUCGAGUGCGCACAGGCCUCCCUCAGAGCAAGUUCAUUGCUAACAGCUGUCGCAGAACCGCUUCUCUUCCUUCGUGAUCUGUGUUUAAAGUGUCGGUUUCUUCUCUCCCCUGUCGUCUCUCCUGUCCCUGGUUGGCCUUAUAGUCUGACCCUUUGUCUUCUGGAAUGUCUGCUGCUAAGGAAGCUAAACUGUUCGAACUUACUUCCCAGCUCAGGAAGGCCGAGGAGAGACACGGCAACAUUGAGGAGAGGCUGCGCCAGAUGGAGGCACAGUUGGAGGAGAAGA